GACACGGUGCACGGGCGCAGCAGGCAUGAAGUGUGGGAGCUGCUGUACGCGCACAGCCUGCCCGCAUGAUUCCCGAUGCAACUCGGAACAAAGAAAAAAAACUGAGCACCAGCGACCUCCUUUCCAGAAGCUGCAGCAGAACAGGCGGCAGUUUGACUACAAAUACCCUCACUAGCAGAAAUUGGGGAGUUUUACUACAAAGCUCACUCUGCAUGAGACAUUUUCGCAGAACUAUUGUUGUCUAAUAAAGGCUCUUUGUGUUGAGCACUAGUUUA
Long non-coding RNA from Rhipicephalus microplus (southern cattle tick), 275 nucleotides. Lineage: Eukaryota; Metazoa; Arthropoda; Arachnida; Ixodida; Ixodidae. The record is from RefSeq and is a predicted model, not a curated record.